UGUCCCUACGGGAGGCAGCAGUGAGGAAUAUUGGUCAAUGGGCGGGAGCCUGAACCAGCCAAGUCGCGUGAGGGAUGACGGCCCUAUGGGUUGUAAACCUCUUUUGCCGGGGAGCAAAGUGCCGCACGUGUGCGGUUUGGAGAGUACCCGGAGAAAAAGCAUCGGCUAACUCCGUGCCAGCAGCCGCGGUAAUACGGAGGAUGCGAGCGUUAUCCGGAUUUAUUGGGUUUAAAGGGUGCGCAGGCGGAGGUGCAAGUCAGCGGUCAAAUUGCGGGGCUCAACCCCGUACUGCCGUUGAAACUGCA
Molecule: ribosomal RNA, 305 nt
Filed under: uncultured bacterium
Lineage: Bacteria
Description: bacterial SSU rRNA
Rfam family: Bacterial small subunit ribosomal RNA
Source: RNAcentral